Nannospalax galili (Upper Galilee mountains blind mole rat) is the source of this 2025-nucleotide RNA transcript. It is a transcript of the gene named heat shock cognate 71 kDa protein pseudogene, with no coding region annotated. The record is from RefSeq and is a predicted model, not a curated record. The transcript has 2 exons. NCBI's taxonomy places the organism in Eukaryota, Metazoa, Chordata, Mammalia, Rodentia, Spalacidae.
AUGGGAGAUGCAUGCAGGCUGGACGAGGGAGCCACAGAGAAACAGAGUGUAGGCCUGGCAGUUGGCAUUGAUCUUGGCAUCACUUACUCAUGCAUGGGUCUCUUACAGCAUGGGAAAGUGGAAAUCAUUGCGAAUGACCAGGGGAACUGAACCACACUGAGCUAUGUUGCUUCUACUGACACAAAACGAUUGAUCAGUGAUGCCACAAAGAAUCAGGUUGCUGUGAACCUCACAAACACAGUGUUUGAUGCCAAACAUCUCAUCGGGCACAGGUUUGAUGAUGCUGUUGUUCAGUCUGAUGUGACGCACCGGCCCUCCAUGGUGGUGAACAAUGUAGGCAGGUCCAGGAUCCAAGUGGGAUGCAAAGGAGAGACCAAAAGCUUCUGUCCAGAAGAGCGGUCCUCUGUGGUUCUAAGAAAGAUGCAGGACAUUGCAGAAGUCUACCUUGGCAGGACUGUUACCAACACUGUGGUCAAGGGGCAAUGCAACCAAAGAUGUUGGAACCAUCGCUGGCCUCCAUGUACUUAGACUUAUCGAUGAACCAACUGCUGCUGCUGUUGCUCACGGCUUAGACAAGAAGGUUGGAGCAGAGAGAAAUGUGCUGAUUGUUUUAUUUGGGAGGUGGCACUUCGAUGUGUCAAUCCUCACUAUUGAGGAUGGAGUUUUGAGGUCAAAUCUGCAGCUGGAGGCGCCUACUUGGGUGGAGGAGACUUUGAUAACUAGAUGGUCAACCACUUCACUGUCAAGUUUAAGCGCAAGCACAAGAAGGACAUCAGUGAAAGCAAGAGAGCUGUCCGCCGUCUCUGCACCGGUUGUGAGCCGGCUAAGCGCACCCUCUCCUCCAGCACCCAGGCCCGUAUUGAGAUUAAUUCUCUCUACAAGGAAAUCGACUUCUACACCUCUGUUACCCGGGCUCGAUUUGAAGAGCUGAAUGCUGACUGUUCCAUGGCACUCUGGACCCUGUAGAAAAAGGCCUUCAAGACGCCAAACUAGAUAAGUCAUGGGUCCAAUGUAUUUUUCUGGCAGGUGGUUCCACCUGUAUCCCCAGGAUUCAGAAGCUUCUGCAAGACUUCUUCCACGGAAAAGAACUGAAUAGGAGCAUUAACCCCAAUGAAGCUGUUGCUUAUGGUGCAGCUGUCCAGGCCGCCAGUCUGUCUGGAGACAAGUCUGAAAAUGUUCAAUAGUCGCUGCUCGUGGAUGUCUCUCCUCUUUCCCUUGGUAUUGAAACAGCCGGUGGAGUCGUGACUGUGUCAUUAAGCACAAUACUACCAUUCCUACCAAGCAGACAGACCAUCACUACCCACUCUGACACCCAGCCUGGUGUGCUCAUUCAGGUAUAUGAAUGUGAGAGAGCCAUGACCAAGGGUAACAACCUGCUUGGGAAGUUUGAACUCACAGGCAUACCUCCUGUACCCUGAGGUGUUCCACAGAUUGAAGUCACCUUCGAUAUUGAUGCCAUGGUAUCCUCAAUGUGUCUGCUGCAGAUAAGAGUACAGGAAAAGAAAACAAGAUGACAUCACUUAACGACAAAGGCUGCUUGAGCACAGAGGACACUGAGCCAUGGUCCAGGAAGCUGAGAUGUACAAAGCUGAAGAUGAGAAGCAGAGAGACAAAGUAUCCUUCAAGAACUCACUGGAGUCCUAUGCAUUCAACAUGAAAGUGACCCUCGAAGAUGAGAAACUUCAAGGCAAGAUCAGUGAUGAGGAUAAACAGAAGAUCCUGGACAAGUGUAAUGAACUCAUCAGUUGUCUGGAUAAGAAUCAGACUGCUGAGAAGGAAGAAUUUGAGCACCAGCGGAAAGAGCUGGAGAAAGUCUGCAACCCCAGCAUCGCCAAGCUGUACCAGAGUGCUGGUGUCGUCUGUUCCCGCCCUGCCCCUCCCCGCGAGGAGGAAUGCCUGGGGGCUUCCCUGGUAGUGGAGCACCUCCCUCUGGUGGUGCUUCUUCAGGGCCCACCAACGAAGAGGUUGAUUAAAGUCAAUCCAAGCAGAGAUGUAGCACUAUUGCACAAUAAAAUAUUUUGAAGG